Small nucleolar RNA from Prolemur simus (greater bamboo lemur), 129 nucleotides. Ensembl annotates it as small nucleolar RNA, H/ACA box 30B. Lineage: Eukaryota; Metazoa; Chordata; Mammalia; Primates; Lemuridae. The record is from Ensembl.
CUAGCACUUUCAUAGGUUCUCCCUCAGGCUAUGGGGCCAGGCUUUGGUAGCUGGUCCUGAGAGAAAACCCUUGAUUAUAUCCUUGCCCUGGGAUGGUGCCAGGGGCGGCUGUCACUCAGUGGGAUAAUU